RNAcentral lists this ribosomal RNA (406 nucleotides) under uncultured bacterium. RNAcentral's name for it is "partial 16S ribosomal RNA". It matches the Rfam family "Bacterial small subunit ribosomal RNA", at positions 30 to 526 of the family's 1533-position model. The record is from RNAcentral.
AUUGAACGCUGGCGGCAUGCCUAACACAUGCAAGUCGAACGAGUGGCGGACGGGUGAGUAAUGUCUGGGAAACUGCCUGAUGGAGGGGGAUAACUACUGGAACCGGUAGCUAAUCCCGCAUACCAUCAGAUGUGCCCAGAUGGGAUUAGCUAGUUGGUGGGGUAACGGCUCACCCAGGCGACGAUCCCUAGCUGGUCUGAGAGGAUGACCAGCCACAAUGGAACUGAAACACGGUCCAGACUCCUACGGGAGGCAGCAGUGGGGAAUAUUGCACAAUGGGCGCAAGCCUGAUGCAGCCAUGCAGCGUGUAUGAAGAAGGCCUUCGGGUUGUAAAGUACUUUCAGCGGGGAGGCGUUACCCGCAGAAGAAGCACCGGCUAACUCCGUGCCAGCAGCCGCGGUAAUAC